UGCGUAGGCGGUCUGUAAAGCUGGAUGUGAAAUCCCGGGGCUCAACCCCGGAACUGCAUCCAGAACUGGCAGACUAGAGACCAGGAGGGGAGAGGAGAAUUCAUGGUGUAGCGGUGAAAUGCGUUGAUAUCAUGAAGAAUACCGGUGGCGAAGGCGCCUCUCUGGAAUGGUUCUGACGCUGAGGCACGAAAGCGUGGGUAGCGAACAGGAUUUGAUACCCUGGUAGUCC
This 229-nucleotide ribosomal RNA is filed under the name uncultured bacterium. RNAcentral's name for it is "partial 16S ribosomal RNA". It matches the Rfam family "Bacterial small subunit ribosomal RNA", at positions 568 to 796 of the family's 1533-position model. The record is from RNAcentral.